RNAcentral lists this ribosomal RNA (439 nucleotides) under uncultured bacterium. Its description in RNAcentral is "bacterial SSU rRNA". It matches the Rfam family "Bacterial small subunit ribosomal RNA", at positions 952 to 1392 of the family's 1533-position model. The record is from RNAcentral.
CGCAUAACGCGAAGAACCUUACCCACCUUUGACAUGUACGGAAUCCUUUAGAGAUAGAGGAGUGCUCGAAAGAGAGCCGUAACACAGGUGCUGCAUGGCUGUCGUCAGCUCGUGUCGUGAGAUGUUGGGUUAAGUCCCGCAACGAGCGCAACCCUUGCCAUUAGUUGCUACAUUUAGUUGAGCACUCUAAUGGGACUGCCGGUGACAAACCGGAGGAAGGUGGGGAUGACGUCAAGUCCUCAUGGCCCUUAUAGGUGGGGCUACACACGUCAUACAAUGGCUGGUACAAAGGGUUGCCAACCCGCGAGGGGGAGCUAAUCCCAUAAAGCCAGUCGUAGUCCGGAUCGCAGUCUGCAACUCGACUGCGUGAAGUCGGAAUCGCUAGUAAUCGUGGAUCAGAAUGUCACGGUGAAUACGUUCCCGGGUCUUGUACACACCG